This 345-nucleotide unclassified non-coding RNA is filed under the name soil metagenome. Its description in RNAcentral is "partial contains 5.8S ribosomal RNA, internal transcribed spacer 2, and large subunit ribosomal RNA". The stretch from base 1 to 121 matches the Rfam family "5.8S ribosomal RNA", at positions 35 to 154 of the family's 154-position model. The record is from RNAcentral.
GAUGAAGAACGCAGCGAAAUGCGAUAAGUAAUGCGAAUUGCAGAAUUUCCGUGAGUCAUCGAAUCUUUGAACGCACAUUGCGCCCACUGGUAUUCCGGUGGGCAUGCCUGUUCGAGCGUCAUUAUCCUCCCUCAAACCCCGGGUUUGGUGUUGGACCCAAGUUGUGUGAACAACUGGUCUCAAAGACAAUGACGGCGUCCGUGGGACCCUCGGUGCAACGAGCUUUUAGGAGCACGCAUCGAGGUGCAAGGACCUUCCGGGCCGGUCUCCUUUACCAUUUUACAAGGUUGACCUCGGAUCAGGUAGGAAUACCCGCUGAACUUAAGCAUAUCAAUAAGCGGAGGA